AGAGUUUGAUCCUGGCUCAGAGCGAACGCUGGCGGCAGGCUUAACACAUGCAAGUCGAGCGGGCGUAGCAAUACGUCAGCGGCAGACGGGUGAGUAACGCGUGGGAACAUACCUUUUGGUUCGGAACAACACAGGGAAACUGCUGCUAAUACCGUAUACGACCUUCGGGUGAAAGAUUUAUCGCCCCUAGAUGGGCCCGCGUUGGAUUAGCUAGUUGGUGGGAUAAAAGCCUACCAAGGCGACUAUCCAUAGCUGGUCUGAGAGGAUGAUCAGCCACACUGGGACUGACACACGUCCCAGACUCCUACGGGAGGCAGCAGUAGGGAAUCUUGCACACUGUGCGAAAGCCUGAUCCAGCCAUGCCGCGUGAGUGAUGAUGGCGUUAUGGUCGUACAGCUCUUUCGCCAGGGAGGAUACUGACCGUACCUGGUUAGGAGCCCCGGCAAACUUCGUUGCAGCAGCCGCGGUUAUUC
Molecule: ribosomal RNA, 473 nt
Filed under: uncultured Hyphomicrobiales bacterium
Lineage: Bacteria; Pseudomonadati; Pseudomonadota; Alphaproteobacteria; Hyphomicrobiales
Description: bacterial SSU rRNA
Rfam family: Bacterial small subunit ribosomal RNA
Source: RNAcentral